CGCGACCCCAGGUCAGGCGGGAUUACCCGCUGAGUUUA
This 38-nucleotide ribosomal RNA is filed under the name Datura stramonium (jimsonweed). RNAcentral's name for it is "partial 26S ribosomal RNA". Lineage: Eukaryota; Viridiplantae; Streptophyta; Magnoliopsida; Solanales; Solanaceae. The record is from RNAcentral. RNAcentral also lists the same sequence under 4 other names.